RNAcentral lists this ribosomal RNA (427 nucleotides) under uncultured bacterium. RNAcentral's name for it is "bacterial SSU rRNA". It matches the Rfam family "Bacterial small subunit ribosomal RNA", at positions 355 to 774 of the family's 1533-position model. The record is from RNAcentral.
UGGGGAAUUUUGGACAAUGGGCGCAAGCCUGAUCCAGCCAUGCCGCGUGCGGGAAGAAGGCCUUCGGGUUGUAAACCGCUUUUGUCAGGGAAGAAAUCCUUUGAGCUAAUACCUCGGGGGGAUGACGGUACCUGAAGAAUAAGCACCGGCUAACUACGUGCCAGCAGCCGCGGUAAUACGUAGGGUGCAAGCGUUAAUCGGAAUUACUGGGCGUAAAGCGUGCGCAGGCGGUUAUGCAAGACAGAUGUGAAAUCCCCGGGCUCAACCUGGGAACUGCAUUUGUGACUGCAUAGCUGGAGUGCGGCAGAGGGGGAUGGAAUUCCGCGUGUAGCAGUGAAAUGCGUAGAUAUGCGGAGGAACACCGAUGGCGAAGGCAGCUUACUAUGGUUUUAUUGACGCUGAGGCACGAAAGCGUGGGGAUCAAACA